UACGUAGGGUGCAAGCGUUAAUCGGAAUUACUGGGCGUAAAGCGCGCGCAGGCGGUUAUUUAAGUCUUAUGUUUAAACCUGGGGCUCAACCUCGGGACGCAUGGGAAACUGGGUAACUUGAGUGUAGGAGAGGAAAGUGGAAUUCCACGUGUAGCGGUGAAAUGCGUAGAGAUGUGGAGGAACACCAGUGGCGAAGGCGACUUUCUGGCCUAUAACUGACGCUGAGGCGCGAAAAGCGUGGGGAGCAACAGGGAUUAAGAAACCCUUGUAAGUUCC
This 276-nucleotide ribosomal RNA is filed under the name uncultured bacterium. RNAcentral's name for it is "partial 16S ribosomal RNA". It matches the Rfam family "Bacterial small subunit ribosomal RNA", at positions 524 to 796 of the family's 1533-position model. The record is from RNAcentral.